CUGGACCUGGGGCGAGUCAGGUUCCCGGGAAAGAACCUGGGGACGCAGCUUCUGCCCCAGGUUCUGUUAACUAGGCUGACCAGCUACCAGGUCUUAACUACUUCCUGUUCCCAGAGGACUACCCAGCAACUUCCACGUCAGAACGCUGUUGGGUUGGCAAUGUGUGUACUGACCUGGAAUUGGGUUGGAUCUUUGAGUUUCUGGCCUGUUGACCUCCAGGCAGGCUGCUCAGUUUGGGAGUUAGGUGAUUUCCUAGUUGUCUAGUUCCAGCAUAUUAGAGAUGACGUUUGGUUCUAGAGCGAACGUCCUCCAUGAUGUUAUGCCAGUGAUCCACCAGGUGGCGAAGUCUCUUUUGAGAAAUUGUAUUUCCUCUUAUUGUUGAGGAAAAAACAAAACUUUUUUUACGAAACCAAGACUGUUGUUCUGUUAAGGAAUGAAAAAUGGUGAGGCCUGCUGUGUGAUGGUUGUGUUUGUGCCUUUAGGUAUCAGAUCUCCCAGAAUCGGGCCCCCCAACUCCGGCUCCAACUGCAGGGAUUGUUGGGGCCCUAAUGGAGGUUAUGCAAAAGAGGAGCAAAGCUAUCCAUUCCUCUGAUGACGAUGAGGAUGAAGACGAAGAUGAUGACUUUGAGGAUGAUGAAGAGUGGGAUGACUAGUGAAGAUGCCCCCCACCCACCUCUCCCAGCCUACCACUAACACUAAAACUCUUCCAGAACCCCACUACAUCAUGUAAUGUAAAUGUUGUUUGAGUUUCCAGUAUAUUUAUUUUUGCUUUUAAAAAAUGAUAAUUCCAGUUAAUCUGUGCAAUACCUCAUCAAUGAAGCUGUUCUGUUCAUCACACACCGUAGAGGUAAAAGCUUCUCUCCUCCUCCUGCGUCAGUAGAAAGCACUUAAUGCACCGUUAGCUCAGAGCACAGCCUGGACCUGAGCUCCAGAAGGAAACGCUGCAGGGAAGACUUGGAGGUGGGCGGAGCUUCCUGGGAAGUCAUUCUGUUACAUUUCAUUGCCUGUUUCAGAAACUUUAAAUGGACAAUAUUCCAAGCAAUUUGGCAGGAAAAUGUUUGAGUGUAUUGCUCUGAAAUGCAUAAUUAACACUUCCUAUCAUAUUUGUCCUCUAUUUAUUUUCUGUCUUUUCAUCUCCUAUUGAAGACAUGACCAUGACCAAACCUUGUGUAGAUCUUUAACUUAGAUUUUUCACAUGAUUAAAAGGUUUUGUUGUUUUUGUCUCGUUUUGCACAGUUUCUAAAAUAGUUUGUUUGGUUUCUUGUUUUGUGUGUUUGUAAUAGUAGCAUACAUACAGUAGGAUAGACAGUAGGAUACUCUGACAUUAAUGUAACAAGACAAUGUUUGAGUUACAGACACACAUGCAUGUAUAGCUGAUAUAGCAGGACUUUCUUUUCUUUUGCAACAUUCCAUUAUCCUGUCAGGAAGUUACACCAUCAUCAUACUGUUUUCAUUUCAUUUAAAGGGAACAAGUAAAAAUAUUUGUUAUUUACUCUUUUUUUUUUUUUAAGAAACUGAUUUUUAUGCAAUGCAACUGUAAAUGCCCUCCUUUUGCAAAUACUAGACAAAGCAAAUAAUGAUGAACCAAAUGUGGCAUUUUCAAGCAGCUUGUGGCUUUGGCGAUGCCUGUGAUGGUUUGUCAGAGAAACAGUGUGAAGAAGUAACCGACACUUGUUUCUCUGUCUGUCCUUUAAGUUCUUAUUGUCCUCCAGGGACCUAAUGCUGCAUCAAGAAGCCAAGUUACUGACAUAAAGCCUGUGAAAAAGGUCGGGAGGGGCCGGGACGGGUGGGGUCAGUGAGAAUAAUAAAUUGUAUACCUGAAUAAAUGUUAUUUACAUAGGUGA
Xiphophorus hellerii (green swordtail) is the source of this 1844-nucleotide long non-coding RNA. RefSeq lists it as uncharacterized. Lineage: Eukaryota; Metazoa; Chordata; Actinopteri; Cyprinodontiformes; Poeciliidae. The transcript has 2 exons. The record is from RefSeq and is a predicted model, not a curated record.